This 371-nucleotide ribosomal RNA is filed under the name uncultured organism. RNAcentral describes it as "bacterial SSU rRNA". It matches the Rfam family "Bacterial small subunit ribosomal RNA", at positions 526 to 896 of the family's 1533-position model. The record is from RNAcentral.
CGGGGGGGGUAAGCGUUGUUCGGAAUUACUGGGCGUAAAGGGCUCGUAGGCGGCCAACUAAGUCAGACGUGAAAUCCCUCAGCUUAACUGGGGAACUGCGUCUGAUACUGGAUGGCUUGGAUUUGGGAGAGGGAUGCGGAAUUCCAGGUGUAGCGGUGAAAUGCGUAGAUAUCUGGAGGAACACCGGUGGCGAAGGCGGCAUCCUGGACCAACAUUGACGCUGAGGAGCGAAAGCCAGGGGAGCAAACGGGAUUAGAUACCCCGGUAGUCCUGGCCCUAAACGAUGAAUGCUUGGUGUGGCGGGUAUCGAUCCCUGCCGUGCCGAAGCUAACGCAUUAAGCAUUCCGCCUGGGAGUACGGUCGCAAGGCUG